RNAcentral lists this ribosomal RNA (252 nucleotides) under uncultured archaeon. RNAcentral's name for it is "partial 16S ribosomal RNA". It matches the Rfam family "Archaeal small subunit ribosomal RNA", at positions 748 to 998 of the family's 1478-position model. The record is from RNAcentral.
CAGCCGUAAACAAUGUGCGUUAGGUGUGUCGGUAACCACGUGUUACUGAUGCGCCGAAGAGAAAUCGUGAAACGCACCACCUGGGAAGUACGGUCGCAAGGCUGAAACUUAAAGGAAUUGGCGGGGGGAGCACCACAACAGGUGGAGCCUGCGGUUUAAUUGGAUUCAACGCCGGACAUCUCACCGGAUAAGACAGCUGAAUGAUUGUCAAUCUGAAGGUUUUACAUGACUAGCUGAGAGGAGGUGCAUGGC